ACGCUGGCGGCACGCCUAAUACAUGCAAGUCGAACGCAGUAGCAAUACUGAGUGGCAGACGGGUGAGUAUAAUGUGGGAAUAUGCCUUUUGGUUUGGAAUAACUUGGGGAAACUCGAGCUAAUACCGAAUAAGCCCUUACGGGGAAAGAUUUAUCGCCGAAAGAUUAGCCCGCACUUGAUUAGCUUGUUGGUGAGGUAAAAGCUCACCAAGGCAACGAUCAAUAGCUGUUCUUAGAGGAAGACCAGCCACAUUGGGACUGAGACACGGCCCAGACUCCUACGGGAGGCAGCAGUAGGGAAUCUUGCACAAUGGAGGAAACUCUGAUGCAGCGAUGCCGCGUGAGUGAAGAAGGCCUUUGGGUUGUAAAACUCUUUCGUCGGGGAAGAAAAUGACUGUACCCGAAUAAGAAGGUCCGGCUAACUUCGUGCCAGCAGCCGCGGUAAUACGAAGGGAUCUAGCGUAGUUCGGAAUUACUGGGCUUAAAGAGCUCGUAGGUGGUUAGAAAAGUUGGUGGUGAAAUCCCAAGGCUCAACCUUGGAACUGCCAUCAAAACUUUUUAGCUAGAGUGUGAUAGAGGAAAGUGGAAUUUCUAGUGUAGAGGUGAAAUUCGUAGAUAUUAGAAAGAACACCAAAAGCGAAGGCAACUUUCUGGAUCACUACUGACACUGAGGAGCGAAAGCAUGGGUAGCGAAGAGGAUUAGAUACCCUCGUAGUCCAUGCUGUAAACGAUGUGUGCUAGACGUUGGAAAUUUAUUUUUCAGUGUCGCAGCAAAAGCGUUAAGCACACCGCCUGGGGAGUACGACC
RNAcentral lists this ribosomal RNA (806 nucleotides) under uncultured Pelagibacteraceae bacterium. Its description in RNAcentral is "bacterial SSU rRNA". It matches the Rfam family "Bacterial small subunit ribosomal RNA", at positions 33 to 887 of the family's 1533-position model. Lineage: Bacteria; Pseudomonadati; Pseudomonadota; Alphaproteobacteria; Candidatus Pelagibacterales; Candidatus Pelagibacteraceae. The record is from RNAcentral.